Long non-coding RNA from Bombus pascuorum, 1188 nucleotides. RefSeq lists it as uncharacterized. The record is from RefSeq and is a predicted model, not a curated record. The transcript is spliced from 4 exons. Lineage: Eukaryota; Metazoa; Arthropoda; Insecta; Hymenoptera; Apidae.
UACCGGUAAGCGUGACACAAAGGUUAUUACGCUGGCACGAUAACAUCCGGGCAUAGCUGACGUGUUUGACUGACGAGCUCUCAGACGUCGCUGCAGGAGCACGCCAUUUGCGGACGGCCGGCUGAUACUUAUCUGCAGGACUGCUUUCGCACAGUAACACUGACAAUGAUAAUUAUACACUUCCCUUGUAUCUUGACAUGGCUGACGUGUAGUUUAUAGAAGCUUCGAUUCUGUGUAUCUUCAAGGGAUGCUUUUUCGAUUCGAAGCAUUUUGUUCGAUUCGUAUAGAAGUUUGUGUUCGUUAAGUGUGCCGACUUUCGGUAUUACGCUGCGAAUGUUAAUAAGAUGGACAGUGUAAGCAACGCUGAUAUAACAGAAAUGAAGGUCAUGUGCCCGGUCCAUACAGUUAAGGUACGAAAUUUGAAUUUAAAUUUAUAUUCAAAUGUAAUGUAAAUUUGAAUUUGCAUUUAAAAUUAACACUAGGUGGUUUUCAGAUUUUGAGAUUCUGUUGUUUUUGGUAAUUACUGAAAGUAUACAAGUGCUCUGUUGACAAACUUGAUGAUCAGCGAUGUUGACAUGGGAUCAAGAUUAUAUUUACAAGCAUCGACUAAAGUCAUUACACAGACUGGAAGCGAAAAGUAGGAAACUGUCGAGGAAAAGGCAACCGGACACCUUUCUCGUUAAUAGAGAACGGCGGAACUCUUUCUAUCAACUUUCUAGUCUCGUCACGGCAAUUAGCAAAGUACCUGCACGUGCGGAUAAAUCCUCUCGUGGCAGAAGCGCGACUUAUUUAUAACCAUCCUUGUCCCGAGACCCGACUAAAGGGUUAAAAGCGAAACAAUUCCACGGUCGACAUUGUUUUGAUGCGGUCAGAACUGAGAAAGAUCGGUGAAAAGAUGCAUAAACCCCACGUCGUGUGCCAGCUUUUCAAAACGGAAGCUUCGACGUGAAACCCGCUGGUCUUUCCAUCCCCUGACAUUUUCCCUUUUUCUUCAUCCUCGUUCUCCCUUCUCGUGGCCACCGCUGAUUAUCCAUCGACUAUUUCCAACGCUGCCUCCAGCUGGUUUUCGCCGUUUUUCCUCGAGAUUCUCUUGUUCGACGCACCAGCGUUGGGCUCAGUUCGACAGAAGAUGAGCAUUCUCGAGGGAGGAAUAAAGAGAAGACAAGUUUUAAAUAAUUCUACAACGAA